RNAcentral lists this ribosomal RNA (514 nucleotides) under uncultured Chitinophagaceae bacterium. Its description in RNAcentral is "bacterial SSU rRNA". It matches the Rfam family "Bacterial small subunit ribosomal RNA", at positions 395 to 916 of the family's 1533-position model. The record is from RNAcentral. Lineage: Bacteria; Pseudomonadati; Bacteroidota; Chitinophagia; Chitinophagales; Chitinophagaceae.
UGCCGCGUGAAGGAUGAAGGCCCUCUGGAUUGUAAACUUCUUUUAUCUGGGAAGAAAUGCGUUUUUUCUAAUGUGGUUGACGGUACCAGAUGAAUAAGCAACUCCGUGCCAGCAGCCGCGGUAAUACGGAGGGUGCAAGCGUUAUCCGGAUUCACUGGGUUUAAAGGGUGCGUAGGCGGGUAGGUAAGUCCGUGGUGAAAUCUCCGAGCUUAACUCAGAAACUGCCAUGGAUACUAUUUGUCUUGAAUAUUGUGGAGGUGAGCGGAAUAUGUCAUGUAGCGGUGAAAUGCUUAGAUAUGACAUAGAACACCAAUUGCGAAGGCAGCUUACUACACGAAUAUUGACGCUGAGGCACGAAAGCGUGGGGAUCAAACAGGAUUAGAUACCCUGGUAGUCCACGCCCUAAACGAUGAUUACUCGACAUCGGCGAUACACUGUUGGUGUCUGAGCGAAAGCAUUAAGUAAUCCACCUGGGAAGUACGAUCGCAAGAUUGAAACUCAAAGGAAUUGACGG